GGAAUUGGCAUUCAGUGUUAACAGAAUGCUGAGAAGUUCUGAAUUGGCAAAAACAGGAGUAAAGUGCUAAAUACUAGUGAAUACAUACACUUUGUUAUUACUGCUUUGAUACCUUUGAAACACAAAAAAUGAAUGGUAAAUAUGAUAUAACUGCAACAAUACAUCUACCUCCAACUUAUGAAAAAUAGGGACCAGUGACUGGAGUUAAGGGGCAGGCAACUAACUUGAAGGCCGUUGUGAUAAUCUGAAUAAGAAAUCAGGAGAACCUGGACUGAUAAUGGCGACUGAAAGAAGCCUAGAGAAAAGAUGGAUAUGUGGGAUUACAUGAAAGACAAAUCUUUAUCAGGCAAAUGCAACUGAUAUGUAACCAGUAAGACAAACAUAAUUAUCAGGUGUCACACCUGGAUUCU
Molecule: long non-coding RNA, 410 nt
Filed under: Bos taurus (domestic cattle)
Lineage: Eukaryota; Metazoa; Chordata; Mammalia; Artiodactyla; Bovidae
Description: long non-coding RNA NONBTAT025683
Source: RNAcentral